This is a non-coding RNA of Hydrogenovibrio marinus, 73 nucleotides long. The record is from Rfam. NCBI's taxonomy places the organism in Bacteria, Pseudomonadati, Pseudomonadota, Gammaproteobacteria, Thiotrichales, Piscirickettsiaceae.
GGGUGAUUAGCUCAGCUGGGAGAGCAUCGCCCUUACAAGGCGAGGGUCACUGGUUCGAACCCAGUAUCACCCA